CGGACACACCGCAGCGAGUCACCUGUAGCGCGACAUCGCAGUCGCUAACCCAUUUUCUACUGGCAGGUCACGGGCGUGGUCCUUCCUUUGGUCAUUUGCAUUCUCACCAUCAGCUUCCCGAGCUGGAAACACUAGGAUCUAUGCUGGACAGCCCCCACAAUGGCCUGGCGUUUCAACUUUCCGAAUGGAUCUCAGAAAUCAUUUUCAAAACUGGACAGGAAUGAGGAUAAGUCCCUUCUGAAAACCGAGAUGACAGAGGAACACAGAUGAGCGGAGACCUCCACGGCGGCCAAGAGGUCUGGUACCUUCCGAACGAGCACUUUGUCUUAAAGUCUUUGUACUGGAUUUGGAGAUGUGUGUGGAAGGUCCCACCCAUGCGAUGCACUUUUUUUUCUCCAAAUACAAGAUAUGCCACACAAAAGUCUCAUAUUUCUAUUAAAGUUGUGACAGGGGAGAAUUAA
Non-coding RNA from Rattus norvegicus (Norway rat), 461 nucleotides. The record is from RefSeq and is a predicted model, not a curated record. Lineage: Eukaryota; Metazoa; Chordata; Mammalia; Rodentia; Muridae.